UUUACCUAAAGAACCAAAGAGUAUGGAUCAUUGCAGUCACGAAAACUUCAAAUCUAGAAUAAUUUAUUCACGUACGGAGCCGUUCAUUGUGGGAGUGUUAUCGUACCUCACAAGUGACGUCAUGUCAGCUGCUGGCGCGUGACGUCGCGAGGUAACAGGAAUCUGCCGCUCCGUCCGUGCACUGAAAUCGGAGGCCGAGCCCGCUUGAGCUGCUAUAUCGCUCUUGUUUUCAGAAGCGGCCUGCCCACAACAACAAGCUGUCGCUUCGUCUGCAGAAUUGGUCUGAUGGAGCAAAGGCACUCGGCGCAGCUCGGUGCAAAAAGGCAACAUUGGGACCAGUGUGCAAACAGCAUGGAUCAUACUGGAAAUUUUACACAGCACCAGAGAACACACAAAGUAGAGAAACCUUUCAAGUGCACUGUGUGUGACAAGGCAUUUGCACGGCCAUCAGUUCUUCAGGCCCACCAGAGAACACAUACAGGAGAGAAACCUUUCAA
Molecule: non-coding RNA, 497 nt
Organism: Petromyzon marinus (sea lamprey)
Lineage: Eukaryota; Metazoa; Chordata; Hyperoartia; Petromyzontiformes; Petromyzontidae
Source: RefSeq, a predicted model, not a curated record